This 422-nucleotide ribosomal RNA is filed under the name Eurhynchium filiforme. RNAcentral's name for it is "eukaryotic LSU rRNA". The stretch from base 1 to 125 matches the Rfam family "5.8S ribosomal RNA", at positions 29 to 154 of the family's 154-position model. The record is from RNAcentral. Lineage: Eukaryota; Viridiplantae; Streptophyta; Bryopsida; Hypnales; Brachytheciaceae.
UGCAUCGAUGAAGAACGCAGCGAAAUGCGAUACGUAGUGUGAAUUGCAGAAUUCCGCGAAUCAUCGAGUCUUUGAACGCAAGUUGCGCCCGAGGCUUGUCCGAGGGCAUUUCCGCUAGAGCGUCACCGCGCCACCACCGAUCCACACUCCCGCCGCGAGGCGGGAGUUUGCCAAGGGUCGAGUGGAAGUGGCCGUCCCGGCGCGAGAAGGCUAAGGGUCGGCUGAAAUGGAUGGAAUUGGGCCGCCGUGGUGACACAGUCCGCGAUCGGGUGAUUUUGUCGCGAGCCUCCCGCCUGCGGGAGGUUCGCCGUGAAUUUUUCUAAGUGUGCUUGGCUGCGUCCCCCAGUUGGCUUUGGUUACCUCGAGCAGGUCGAGCGCGCCCCCGCGGCGCGCGUCACGCAUCAGACCUCUAAUCGGAAAAG